AUCAGGGGGCCUCGUGAUUUGUAUGGCCGGCUUGCGGCGAGGUAAAAAAAACGCGCUAAAGAGGCUCUGGCGGGAUCCAC
This 80-nucleotide non-coding RNA is filed under the name Acetobacter aceti. Lineage: Bacteria; Pseudomonadati; Pseudomonadota; Alphaproteobacteria; Acetobacterales; Acetobacteraceae. The record is from RNAcentral.